GGUGAACUUGGCCGGCAUCUCGUACACAUAAACCCUAACCACCGACAGCCCCGACCACGGAUCCGCCGGAUCCCCAUAAAGCCUCCCUGUUUCCUUCCCCCAGAUCUUGUCAUCGAGCGCUUUUACCGCGGCUCCGCCCGCGUCGGCCGCGACGGAGGAAGAUCCGGCGGAGACAGGGCGCCGGGAGGUGAGGAACUUCUCGAGAGAGGCGACGAAGGAGUAGAAGAAGAAGAUGGAGGCGAGCACGAGGAGGGAGAGGGUGGCGACGAGGAACGAGGGAGAGGAGGAAGAAUCCUGGCUGGCUGCCGACGACAACCCACACCACACAUUAUUAAUAUGUACGGUUCAUCGCCGGAGAGGAGGAAGGAGGAGAGGAACGGCCCGCAUGUUUUUUUGUUGUGAAUUUGAGUUCUGACGACGCGUAUACGCGUCGUCUUAGGC
RNAcentral lists this long non-coding RNA (441 nucleotides) under Phoenix dactylifera (date palm). RNAcentral's name for it is "long non-coding RNA (PDAC_LNC016288)". The record is from RNAcentral. Lineage: Eukaryota; Viridiplantae; Streptophyta; Magnoliopsida; Arecales; Arecaceae.